CGAAGGAUCCAAGCGUUAUCCGGAUUCAUUGGGUUUAAAGGGAGCGUAGGCGGGUUUAUAAGUCAGUGGUGAAGCCGAUCGCUUAACGAUCGAACUGCCAUUGAUACUGUAGACCUAGAGUACAGAUGAUGUUGGCGGAAUAUGACAUGUAGCGGUGAAAUGCAUAGAUAUGUCAUAGAACACCGAUUGCGAAGGCAGCUGACAAAACUGUAACUGACGCUGAGGCUCGAAAGUGCGGGGAUCAAACAGGAUUAGAUACCCUGGUAGUCCGCACAGUAAACGAUGAUAACUAGUUGUUUGCGAUAUACAGUAAGCGACCAAGCGAAAGCGAUAAGUUAUCCACCUGGGGAGUACGCCCGCAAGGGUG
This 367-nucleotide ribosomal RNA is filed under the name uncultured organism. Its description in RNAcentral is "bacterial SSU rRNA". It matches the Rfam family "Bacterial small subunit ribosomal RNA", at positions 526 to 896 of the family's 1533-position model. The record is from RNAcentral.